GAAGACUGCAGAGUUUGGGAACAAGGAUUGUCGGGCUUAAAAGGGCCAAUGGGGGAAUGUGAAUGCAGUACGCGGAGCCUGUGGGGACCUUGCCUGACAGAUGGAGGACCUGCUUAUUUGCUGCUCCUAGCCUGCAUCCAACACUGACCCACCUCAUUUGUCACAGGACAUCUUGUCACUACUGGAUUCAUAGCUGGCUGAUCUACUUGAACUUGCUGCUGAAGACUGAUGGGGCUCUGGGCCCACAGCCACCAUUAAGGUAUCCUUCUUGGAGCCCCAAGUCUCACUGAAGGUCUCAGGUGGGAAUCUCAGUGAUGAAUUUUCUUACUCCUUUGGAGUAUAUUUUUUAGUACCAGAAUUUGAUCAACCAUAGACUCUAAGAAAGCACCAUAUAGCCCCAGGAGCAUCAUAGCAAAUUUUUUGAAAUGUACAUUAUUGUGGGGUAUAAUGCUCAUAUUUAAUUUUUAGAAGUAUUUCUAUUAAAAUUAUUAAUUUUAAUUUGAGUUUAAUUAUAUUACACAAUGUAUACUUAAUAUGAAAAUAGAAUAUCAAUAAAAUAAAAUAUUACUUUUUAAUAUGUAAUGAGUUUGUAGAAUAAAC
Molecule: long non-coding RNA, 600 nt
Filed under: Cavia porcellus (domestic guinea pig)
Lineage: Eukaryota; Metazoa; Chordata; Mammalia; Rodentia; Caviidae
Description: lncRNA (ENSCPOG00000039670.1)
Source: RNAcentral